This 271-nucleotide ribosomal RNA is filed under the name uncultured prokaryote. RNAcentral's name for it is "partial 16S ribosomal RNA". It matches the Rfam family "Bacterial small subunit ribosomal RNA", at positions 524 to 794 of the family's 1533-position model. The record is from RNAcentral.
UACGAAGGGUGCAAGCGUUACUCGGAAUUACUGGGCGUAAAGGGUGCGUAGGUGGUUCGUUAAGUCUGAUGUGAAAGCCCUGGGCUCAACCUGGGAAUUGCAUUGUAUACUGGCGGGCUAGAGUGCGGUAGAGGGUAGUGGAAUUCCCGGUGUAGCAGUGAAAUGCGUAGAUAUCGGGAGGAACAUCCGUGGCGAAGGCGACUGCCUGGACCAGCACUGACACUGAGGCACGAAAGCGUGGGGAGCAAACAGGAUUAGAUACCCCCGUAGU